GACAGAGGUGCCGAGCGUUAGGCGGAAUCACUGGGCUUAAAGCGUGUGUAGGCGGACCCGUAAGUACCUUGUGAAAUCCCACGGCUCAACCGUGGAACGGCUGGGUAUACUGCGGGUCUUGAGCAACCUAGGGGCAGACGGAACAAGUGGUGGAGCGGUGAAAUGCGUAGAUAUCAGGAGGAAUACCGAUGGCGAAGGCAGGUCUCUGGGCUGACACUGACGCUCAUGCACGAAAGCGUGGGGAGCAAACAGG
Molecule: ribosomal RNA, 253 nt
Filed under: uncultured bacterium
Lineage: Bacteria
Description: partial 16S ribosomal RNA
Rfam family: Bacterial small subunit ribosomal RNA
Source: RNAcentral